GUAGGUGGCAAGCGUUGUCCGGAAUUAUUGGGCGUAAAGCGCGCGCAGGCGGUUCUUUAAGUCUGAUGUGAAAGCCCACGGCUCAACCGUGGAGGGUCAUUGGAAACUGGAGAACUUGAGUACAGAAGAGGAAAGCGGAAUUCCACGUGUAGCGGUGAAAUGCGUAGAGAUGUGGAGGAACACCAGUGGCGAAGGCGGCUUUCUGGUCUGUAACCGACGCUGAGGCGCGAAAGCGUGGGGAGCAAACAGGGAUUAGAUACCCUGGUAGUCCACGCCGUAAACGAUGAGUGCUAAGUGUUAGGGGGUUUCCCGCCCCUUAGUGCUGCAGCUAACGCAUUAAGCACUCCGCCUGGGGAGUACGGCCGCAAGGCUG
Molecule: ribosomal RNA, 373 nt
Filed under: uncultured organism
Description: partial 16S ribosomal RNA
Rfam family: Bacterial small subunit ribosomal RNA
Source: RNAcentral